RNAcentral lists this RNase P RNA (349 nucleotides) under bacterium D16-51. RNAcentral describes it as "RNase P RNA component class A". It matches the Rfam family "Bacterial RNase P class A". From Rfam's summary of the family: Ribonuclease P (RNase P) is a ubiquitous endoribonuclease, found in archaea, bacteria and eukarya as well as chloroplasts and mitochondria. Its best characterised activity is the generation of mature 5'-ends of tRNAs by cleaving the 5'-leader elements of precursor-tRNAs. The record is from RNAcentral. RNAcentral also lists the same sequence under 1 other name.
AUAGCAGCACAGACAAUCGCAGCUGCAAGUGCCGAAAGGCCGCAGGUGAGGAAAGUCCGGGCUUCAUAGGGCAGGAUGCCGGAUAACGUCCGGUGGAGGCGACUCCCAGGCUAGUGCAACAGAAAAGAACCGCCGGCAAAAGGCCGGUAAGGGUGAAAAGGCGAGGUAAGAGCUCACCGCGUCUUUGGUAACAAAGACGGCGGCUGUAAACCCCAUCCGAAGCAAGACCGAACAGGAAUAAUACGGCGGCCCGUCGUGUUCCGGGUAGGUUGCUUGAGCCUGGCGGCAACGUCAGGCCUAGAUAGAUGAUUGUCUAAUACAGAACCCGGCUUAUAGUGCUGCUCAUUUU